Molecule: long non-coding RNA, 243 nt
Filed under: Elaeis guineensis (African oil palm)
Lineage: Eukaryota; Viridiplantae; Streptophyta; Magnoliopsida; Arecales; Arecaceae
Description: long non-coding RNA (EGUI_LNC070157)
Source: RNAcentral
AAAGUCUGGAUGGAGAUCGCUUAUUGUAGAGGCUCGACUGAAGUCCGCCUGUAAUAGAAGUUUAAAAGGAAUUUGCUUACAGUAGAGGUCCGGGGUAGACCGCUUGCAGUAGAAGUCCCACUGUCGGAGAAGCUCGAUCCUCGAUGAAGUCUGGCUGUUGGAGCCCGUCCGUUGUAGAAGUUCAUCUAGAAUCCAUCCACUAUGGAAGUUCGGGCGGAGUUUGAUUCUUGUAAAUGUCCGGAU